GUAUUACUCCCUCCGUUCCGAAUUACUUGUCUUAGAUUUGUCUAGAUACGGAGGUAUCUAGCACUAAAAUAAGUCUAGAUAUAUCUGUAUCUAGACAAAUAAUUCGGAACGGAGGGAGUACUCC
This is a non-coding RNA of Triticum aestivum (bread wheat), 124 nucleotides long. Lineage: Eukaryota; Viridiplantae; Streptophyta; Magnoliopsida; Poales; Poaceae. The record is from Rfam.